This is a long non-coding RNA of Astyanax mexicanus (Mexican tetra), 734 nucleotides long. RefSeq lists it as uncharacterized. The record is from RefSeq and is a predicted model, not a curated record. NCBI's taxonomy places the organism in Eukaryota, Metazoa, Chordata, Actinopteri, Characiformes, Acestrorhamphidae. The transcript is spliced from 4 exons.
UAAAACUUCAGUCCAGAAGAUGUGAAAUUUGAGGAAGAAGAUGAAGAAAAGAGUGAAGAAGCUGCAGUCUGCAGUUCAGCUGGAGCCGAGCGGAGCGAUCAAACGCCCUUUUGUGACUGCGCUGAGAGAGAAGAGUCAGGGGCUGUUCGAGAAUUACAUUAGAGCUUCGGUUAACACCUAAUGAUGCAGUUAAGAAUGGACAGGCAGCACUGAGGAACCUUCAGGCUUGAAUCCUGAGGAGAAGAGGACUGAAUGCAGGUAAGUGUAGACCCCCCCUCCCCUAAACACCCCAAACCAAUAUCCUUGAGCCCUGAGCUAAAGAGCAAUUCUAUUAAAAGUAGUUCGGCCCAAGGUCAGAGUAAAAUUGGUGUGUGUCUGCGUGCCUGUAAAAGGUUUUGGUGCUGGUUUUGUUUUGUUUUCUGAGAUUUGUGUUAUUGUGGCAUUGUGUGGGAUGAAGCUGGAGCAGCUGAACCUUGACUGAACAGAGCACAACUUCCUGAAACCACAGGGCAUCACAUUUUGUCGGAAGGUCACUUGUUCUUUUUGAGCAGAAACUCGAAAAAAUAAAUAAAUAAAGCACAAUAAUGGAAAAGCAUCACAUAUAAUUAGUGAAGGUCUGUCACAAUAAUUAUGUCUUUUAAUUAUUGACUUAUUAAACAAAUUAUGUACAUAACCUCUAAGGCUGUGUAUUAGGAGGAACUUAGUGUUGGUAUGUAUCAAGGGUUACAACACAG